This 1119-nucleotide ribosomal RNA is filed under the name Triticum aestivum (bread wheat). RNAcentral's name for it is "partial small subunit ribosomal RNA". Lineage: Eukaryota; Viridiplantae; Streptophyta; Magnoliopsida; Poales; Poaceae. The record is from RNAcentral.
AUGGCUAUGAGCUCGAGCGCCGUCGGCCUCAACCUAGGUGCUCCACCAACAGAGAAGCUCGCAAGGGGGAACUACCUCCUGUGGAAGGCGCAGGUCAUGCCGGCAUUGCAAGGCGCGCAAGUGACCGGUCUCCUCGACAGCAGCGAUGCCGCACCGCCAAAGACAACAGAAGUCACCAAGGCGGACAAAACCACGGCCAUAGAACCCAACCCUCUGUAUGGACCGUGGUUGUCGAAGGAUCAGCGGGUUCUGAGCUACCUGCUGAAUUCUCUCACGCAAGAAAUCCUGGUGCAAGUUAUCGGUAAGGACAGUACCUUUGAUCUCUGGACUGCUCUUACCACUCUAUUCGCCACGCAGUCGCAGUCCUGCAUAACCAAUCUUCGGAUGGCCAUCUCCAACACCAAGAAAGGAAACAUGUCAAGCAACGCCUUUAUCGCCAAGAUGAAAAACCUCGGGGACGAGCUAGCUGCGGCUGGGCGUCCUGUAACCGAUCCGGAGAUGGUGGACUACAUCCUUGCUGGCCUUGAUCGGGACUACGAUCCCAUCGUGGCAGCAGUCGGCGCUAUCAAGAACUCCAUCACCGUCGACGAUCUCUUCACGGAGAUCGCUGCAUUUGAUCAGCGGAUGGAGGUGCUGGGGGACGGUCCAGCAGGAUUCCGCUCGUCUGCCAACGCCGUCUGCAGGGGGCGCGGCCAGUCCCGUGGCAGGGGAGGUCGUGGCCGAAGCAACAGAGGAGGACGCGGUCAAGGAAACCGCUCCUCUCCUUCUCCGAGUCGUGGAGGUGGCGGCGGCGGUCAUCAGCAGCGCUUUUGCCCUCAACCACAACAACAGCAGCAGCAAGAAGGCGACUACCUGGAGUGCCAGAUCUGCUACAAGUUCCAUGCUGGCAGGGCAAGAGCCUGCUGGCAUCGCUACGACGAUGAUCAUGAAGAAAAGAAGGCAGCCAACCUCGUCACCAACAACUAUGGCAUCGAUACCAACUGGUAUGCAGACUCUGGCGCCAUUGAACAUAUCACAGGGGAGCUCGACAAGCUGACGAUGCGGGAAAGGUACCACGGCGGUGAUCAGAUACACACGGCAAGUGGAGCUGGACUUGGCAACGAGGAGGGUCAUCCUUAG